RNAcentral lists this ribosomal RNA (460 nucleotides) under uncultured bacterium. Its description in RNAcentral is "partial 16S ribosomal RNA". It matches the Rfam family "Bacterial small subunit ribosomal RNA", at positions 338 to 795 of the family's 1533-position model. The record is from RNAcentral.
CCUACGGGAGGCAGCAGUGAGGAAUAUUGGUCAAUGGACGAGAGUCUGAACCAGCCAAGUAGCGUGAAGGAUGACUGCCCUAUGGGUUGUAAACUUCUUUUAUAUGGGAAUAAAACGUUCCACGUGUGGGAUUUUGUAUGUACCAUAUGAAUAAGGAUCGGCUAACUCCGUGCCAGCAGCCGCUGUAAUACGGAGGAUCCGAGCGUUAUCCGGAUUUAUUGGGUUUAAAGGGAGCGUAGGUGGAUUGUUAAGUCAGUUGUGAAAGUUUGCGGCUCAACCGUAAAAUUGCAGUUGAAACUGGCAGUCUUGAGUACAGUAGAGGUGGGCGGAAUUCGUGGUGUAGCGGUGAAAUGCUUAGAUAUCACGAAGAACUCCGAUUGCGAAGGCAGUUCACUGGACUGCAACUGACACUGAGGCUCGAAAGUGUGGGUAUCAAACAGGAUUAGAUACCCCGGUAGUC